UGAGCCAGAAUUUGACUACUUGAAAAGCU
This 29-nucleotide non-coding RNA is filed under the name Mus musculus (house mouse). RNAcentral also lists the same sequence under 1 other name. The record is from RNAcentral. Lineage: Eukaryota; Metazoa; Chordata; Mammalia; Rodentia; Muridae.